CUAUGGAGUACACAUCACUUUUUAGGUCAGUACAAGUCUUAAUAAUGUAGUAAUUUAAUUACAAUAUAUGGUUAAGCAAAAAUCCUAUCUUUCCCAAGGCAACGAGUAAUUCGUAUGCUGAAUGAUAGGCGAGUUUAUGGGGUAUUUUGACCAAUACUAUCUUGUAUCUAGUUUUGAGAGUUUUAUUCUCUCUAUAUAGUUCUUUGAAAACUGAAUAGCAGACAUUUAUGUAAUAAUGUUGAACAUCUUUUUAAGAUAUUUAAUGUAAUUACAUCGUCAUGUUUACUUUUGCUUAUUUUAAGCUUAAGUAAAUAUAACAAAAACCAAUAAAACAACAAUAUUCAUGUAUUUAUAUAUGAAUAUAACAACAACAGAAUUCGUGUAUAUUAAUAUACUAGAAUUUGAUCUCAAUAAAAAAAUAAAAUUAAAACUUUUAAAGUUUUAACAAUUUUCGUUUUAAAUAAAAUAGAUAACCUUAAGAUAUAAAUCAUAGGUCUGACAUUAAGUCAGAUCGUUACAAA
This 521-nucleotide unclassified non-coding RNA is filed under the name Mycoplasma marinum. RNAcentral describes it as "sequence contains ITS1". The record is from RNAcentral. Lineage: Bacteria; Bacillati; Mycoplasmatota; Mollicutes; Mycoplasmatales; Mycoplasmataceae.